Molecule: ribosomal RNA, 424 nt
Filed under: uncultured prokaryote
Description: bacterial SSU rRNA
Rfam family: Bacterial small subunit ribosomal RNA
Source: RNAcentral
UAGGGAAUCUUAGACAAUGGGCGAAAGCCUGAUCUAGCCAUGCCGCGUGUGUGACGAAGGCCCUAGGGUCGUAAAGCACUUUCGCCAGGGAUGAUAAUGACAGUACCUGGUAAAGAAGUCCCGGCUAACUCCGUGCCAGCAGCCGCGGUAAUACGGAGGGGACUAGCGUUGUUCGGAAUUACUGGGCGUAAAGCGCGCGUAGGCGGACCGAAAAGUUGGGGGUGAAAUCCCGGGGCUCAACCCCGGAACUGCCUCCAAAACUGCCGGUCUAGAGUUCGAGAGAGGUGAGUGGAAUUCCGAGUGUAGAGGUGAAAUUCGUAGAUAUUCGGAGGAACACCAGUGGCGAAGGCGGCUCACUGGCUCGAUACUGACGCUGAGGUGCGAAAGCGUGGGGAGCAAACAGGAUUAGAUACCCCCGUAGUCC